AGAGGAAGUAAAAGUCGUAACAAGGUUUCCGUAGGUGAACCUGCGGAAGGAUCAUUAUCGAAAUCGAAAGCCUAGGAGAAGGGGGGGACGCGAGACUGUCGCUGGCCUUUUCGGCACGUGCACGUGUCCGUCCCUCCCGCCUUCGAAGCUUUGAACCUCUCGACACCUGUGUGCACCCGCCGUAGGUCCUUCGGGAUCUAUGUCUUCUCUUCCGAACUCGCAUGUCUACAGAAUGUAUGCGUCGCGCAGGCGACUGCGAACCUUUGUACAACUUUCAGCAAUGGAUCUCUUGGCUCUCGCAUCGAUGAAGAACGCAGCGAAUCGCGAUAAGUAAUGUGAAUUGCAGAUUUUCCGUGAAUCAUCGAAUCUUUGAACGCACCUUGCGCUCCUCGGUAUUCCGAGGAGCAUGCCUGUUUGAGUGUCAUCGAAAUCUCGAACCGAAGUCUUUCGACCUCGGUCUCGGACAUUGGGAGCGUGCGGGCGGCGACGUCGGCUCUCCUCAAAAGCAUUAGCUGUGGGCGUGGGCCUCGCACGGCACGGCCGCUUCGACGUCAUAAUGAUCGUCGUGGGCUGGAAGUGCGUGGGUCGACGUGUCCCCAUGCUUCGAAACCUCCUGCGAGUCCGUCCUUUGUCCGGACGGUCGCGCGCACGAUCGAUGCUUGACCUCAAAUCAGGUAGGACUACCCGCUGAACUUAAGCAUAUCA
This 705-nucleotide ribosomal RNA is filed under the name Scleroderma sp. 1 SS-2016. Its description in RNAcentral is "eukaryotic LSU rRNA". The stretch from base 270 to 424 matches the Rfam family "5.8S ribosomal RNA". The record is from RNAcentral. Lineage: Eukaryota; Fungi; Basidiomycota; Agaricomycetes; Boletales; Sclerodermataceae.